UCGGCAAUCAGGCGCCUACAUAGAGAACAAAGGAAUGCAGUUCAAGUUUCGGCAAUCAGGCGCCCACUUAGAGAACAAGGGAAUAUAGUUCAGGUUUUGGCAAUCAGGCGCCCAUCUAGAGAACAAGGGAAUACAGUUCAAGUUUGGGCAAUCAGGCACCUACCUGGAGAACAAGGGAAUACAGUUAAAGUUUUGGCAAUCAGGCGCCCACCUGGAGAACAAGGGAAUAUAGUUCAAGUUUUGGCAAUCAAGCGCCCACCUGGAGAACAAGGGAAUACAGUUUCAAGUUUUGGCAAUCAGGCGCCCACCUGGAGAACAAGGAAAUACAGUUAAAGUUUUGGCAAACAGGCACCCACCUGGAGAACAAGGGAAUACAAUUCAAGUUUUCGCAAUUAGGCGCCCACCUGGAGAAAUAGGGAAUACAGUUCAAGUUUUGGCAAUCAGGCGCCCACCUAGAGAACAAGGGAAUACAGUUCAAGUUUCAGCAAUCAGGCGCUCACUUGGAGAAUAAGGGAAUACAAUUCAAGUUUCGGCAAUCAGGCGCCCACUUGGAGAACAAGGAAAUACAGUUCAAGUUUUGGCAAUCAGGCACCCACCUGGAGAACAAGGGAAUAUAGUUUCAAGUUUUGGCAAUCAGGCGCCCACAUGUAGAACAAGGGAAUAUAGUUAAAGUUUUGGCAAUCAGGCACCCAUCUGGAAAAUAAGGGAAUACAGUUCAAGUUUUGGCAAUCAGGCGCCCACCUGGAGAACAAGGGCAUACAAUUCAAGUUUUGGCAAUCAGGCGCCCACCUGGAGAACAAGGGAAUAUAGUUAAAGUUUUGGCAAUCAGGCACUCACCUGGAGAACAAGGGAAUACAGUUCAAGUUUUGGCAAUCAGGUGCCCACCUGGAGAACAAGGGCAUACAGUUCAAGUUUUGGUAAUCAGGCGCCUACCUGGAGAACAAGGGAAUACAGUUAAAGUUUUGGCAAUCAGGCGCCCACCUGGAGAACAAGGGAAUAUAGUUCAAGUUUUGGCAAUCAAGCGCCCACCUGGAGAACAAGGGAAUACAGUUCAAGUUUCGGCAAUCAGGCGCCCACUUGGAGAACAGGGAAAUAUAGUUCAAAGUUUUGGCAAUCAGGCGCCCACCUGGAGAACAAGGGAAUACAGUUAAAGUUAUGGCACUCAGGCGCCCACCUGGAGAAUAAGGGAAUACAGUUCAAGUUUUGAUAAUCAAGCGCCUACAUGGAGAAGAAGGGAAUAUAGUUUAAAGUUUUGGCAAUCAGGCACCCACCAGGAGAACAAAGGAAUACAGUUCAAGUUUUGGCAAUCAGUAGCCUACUUGGAUAACAAGGGAAUGCAGUUCAGGUUUUUGCAAUCAGGCGCCUACCUGGAGAACAAUGGAAUACAGUUCAAGUUUGGGCAAUUAGGCACCCACCUGGAGAACAAGGGAAUACAGUUCAAGGAGAAUAAGGGAAUACAUUUCAAGUUUUGGCAAUCAGGUGCCCACCUGGAGAACAAGGGAAUGUAGUUCAGGUUUUGGCAAUCAGACGCCCACCUGGAGAACAAGGGAAUAUAGUUCAAGUUUGGGCAAUCAUGCGCCCACCUGGAGAACAAGGGAAUACAGUUCAAGUUUUCGCAAUCGGGCGCC
RNAcentral lists this long non-coding RNA (1628 nucleotides) under Nicotiana tabacum (common tobacco). RNAcentral describes it as "long non-coding RNA (NTAB_LNC017321)". The record is from RNAcentral. Lineage: Eukaryota; Viridiplantae; Streptophyta; Magnoliopsida; Solanales; Solanaceae.